RNAcentral lists this transfer RNA (77 nucleotides) under Stieleria neptunia. RNAcentral describes it as "Planctomycetes bacterium Enr13 tRNA-Leu". It matches the Rfam family "tRNA". Rfam says of the family: Transfer RNA (tRNA) molecules are approximately 80 nucleotides in length. Their secondary structure includes four short double-helical elements and three loops (D, anti-codon, and T loops). Lineage: Bacteria; Pseudomonadati; Planctomycetota; Planctomycetia; Pirellulales; Pirellulaceae. The record is from RNAcentral.
GGCCGGGUACGCAAACUGGCAAAGCGGUCGCGUCGAGAGCGCGGCGAUUUUGUGGGUUCAACUCCCACCUCGGUCAC